RNAcentral lists this ribosomal RNA (3003 nucleotides) under Klebsormidium flaccidum. RNAcentral describes it as "bacterial LSU rRNA". It matches the Rfam family "Bacterial large subunit ribosomal RNA". The record is from RNAcentral. Lineage: Eukaryota; Viridiplantae; Streptophyta; Klebsormidiophyceae; Klebsormidiales; Klebsormidiaceae.
CCUCAAAUCAAAUGCAUUGGAUGGAUGCCUCGGCAGAAAGGAAAAGAAGGGACGAACUAAAUCUCGAAAAGCCGUAGAACAGGUGAUGCCCUAAAACCUACGGAUCUCCCAUCGGGAAACCGCAUGCGUCGAUCAGAAACCAAAAGGUGGAAUGUUCGACAGACUACUUGGCCAACUGAAACAUCUAAGUAACCAAAGGAAAAAGAAAUCAACCGAGACUCCGUAAGUAGUGGCGAGCGAACGCGGACAUUGCUAGCUCUUAUUCAACCCCUUAAGAGGCUGAGAAGCCUUGCCAUAGAAGGUCAUAGCCCUGUAAGGGUUGAAUAUUCUGAAGAUUUACCAAUCUUGAAUGAGCAAAGAGCCCAUCCCCAUAGGGGAUUGGAGCUCAUUUUAUUUGAGGGGGGACCACCCUCCAAGCAAAGUAAUCCUUCUGACCUAUAGUGCAAUAGUACCGCGAGGGAAAGGUGAAAAAAACUCUGGAAAGAGGGUGAAAAGAUCUGAAAUCCAAUGCAGACAAUCAGUUGAAGGCAAUUGCCAUAUUGGGCAGUGCAUGAGUGAGAGCCAGGAUUGGCUUGAAUCCAUUCUCAAUUGCUUACAGCGUACCUUUUGUAUAAUGGGUCAGCGAGUCAAUCUUUACAGCAAGCUUAAGCUCUAAAGUGUAGGCGCAAUGAGAAACCAUACCAGUUGUAAGGAUUGGACCCGAAAUCGAUUGAGCUAGCCAUGGGCAGGUUGAAGCGGCGCCCGACAGCACGUGGAAGACCGAAUUCGUUACUGUGGCAAAAGUAUGAAAUGACCUGUGGCUAGGGGUGAAAGGCCUAUCAAAAUCGAAGAUAGCUGGUUUUUUGCGAAAUCUAUUUAGGUAGAGCGUUCUUCAGCAAUCGUGUUUGUAGGGGGUAGAGCACUCGAUGGGCUAGGGUGGCCCAAAGCUUGACCGAUCCCAAGGAAACUCCGAAUACCUACAAACAAUAGAGUGCCCUAUUCUCCUAAAAGAAGCUUGGUAACUUCUUAUUGCUAUGAGUUCCAAUCCCCUAAAGGGAUAUUCAUUUCAAUUCAAGAGAGAAUAGAGGCCAUACGCUGAAAGCAGACAGACUUUGGGUGAUAAGGUCCAAGGUCAAAAGGGAAACAGCCCAGAUCGUAUGCUAAGGUCCCAAAGCAAUCACUUAGUGGAAAAGGUGGUCGCUAGGCGAUUACAACCGGGAGGUGGGCUUGGAAGCAGCCAUCCUAUUAUGACAGCGUAACAGCUCACUGGUCUAGCUUAGCGGCGCCUAAAAUGAACCGGGGCUCAAGUGAUUCACCGAAGCAACGAAAUUGAAUCGAGGGAGCUGAUACGAUUUUGAAGAAUUGUACCGAUCUGCGACCCCAUUCAAUUGGUAGCAAAACGUUCUAUAAGCCCUGUGAAGGCAACUCGUAAGAGAUGCUGGAGGCAUUAGAAGUGAGAAUGCUGACAUAAGUAACGAUUAAUAAUGUGCAAAGCAUUAUCGCCGAAAGUUCAAGGGUUUCAUUGUUCAGUCAAUCUGCAAUGAGUCAAUAAGGCCCCUAAGUUUCAUGCUGAAGAGCAUUGAUCGAUGGGUAGGCUGGGAGCGACGAAGAGAUCGCUGAUGGGGCUAUUGCCCCCUGCUUCGCUCCACUCCUCUCUGGGGAGUGGGGCUCUGCGCUCAAUCAUCUUUCUGAUACAGAACACGCGGCAAUCGCGCCUUGCAGGAGUGAUUUGAUUCGAGACAAUCCUUUUCCUAGAAACAACUCCAGCCACAACUAUACCUUACCCCAAACCGACACAGGUGAACAAGUAGAGAAUACUAAGGCGUUGGGACAAUCACCUUGAAGGAACUCGGCAAAAUCACUCCGUAACUUCGGGAGAAGGAGGGCUCUCAAGAGAGAGUGGCACAGAAUAGGGGGUGGCGGCUGUUUAUUAAAAACACAGGACUCUGCAAAGUACCAAUACCAUGUAUAGAGUCUGACACCUGCCCGGUGCUGUAAGGUGAAUAGGAGAGGUAAGUAUGCUUCGAAUGAAAGCCCCAGUAAACGGCGGCAGUAACUCUAACUGUCCUAAGGUAGCGAAAUUCCUUGACGUAUAAUUAACGUCCUGCAUGAAUGGUGUCACGACUGCCCCGCUGUCUCCAAGGUGAGCCCAGUGAAUUUGAAUUCUCCGUGAAGAUGCGGAGUACCCGCGGUUAGACGGAAAGACCCCGUGCACCUUUACUGCAGCUUUGCGCUGGCAUUCGUGUCGGCAUGUGUAGGAUAGGUGGUAGACUUUGAAGCCGGGGCGCCAGCUCUGGUGGAGUCAUCCUUGAAAUACCACCCUUAUCGUCAUGGAUGUCUAACCGCGACCCGUAAGCCGGGUCCGAGACAGCGCAUGGCAGGCAGUUUGACUGGGGCGGUCGCCUCCCAAAGAGUAACGGAGGCGUGCGAAGGUGGGCUCAGAGCGGUCGGAAAUCGCUCGUUGAGUGCAAUGGCAUAAGCCUGCCUGACUGCGAGACUGACAAGUCGAGCAGAUGCGAAAGCAGGACAUAGUGAUCCGGUGGUUCUGUAUGGAAGGGCCAUCGCUCAACGGAUAAAAGGUACUCUGGGGAUAACAGGCUGAUACCGCCCAAGAGUUCAUAUCGACGGCGGUGUUUGGCACCUCGAUGUCGGCUCAUCUCAUCCUGGGGCUGUAGCCGGUCCCAAGGGUAUGGCUGUUCGCCAUUUAAAGAGGUACGUGAGCUGGGUUUAAAACGUCGUGAGACAGUUUGGUCCCUAUCUUCCGUGGGCGCUGCAGAUUUGAGGAAGCCUGCUCCUAGUACGAGAGGACCGGAGUGGACGCACCUCUGGUGUACCGGUUGUCACGCCAGUGGCAUUGCCGGGUAGCUAAGUGCGGAAGAGAUAACCGCUGAAAGCAUCUAAGCGGGAAACUCGUUCCAAGAUGAGAUCUGCCGGGGCCUUGAGCCCCCUAAAGAGUCGUUCAAGACCAGGACGUUGAUAGGUCAGGUGUGGAAGCGCAGUAAUGCGUUAAGCUAACUGAUACUA